AACCUAACGCCUUUGUUUGCUGCCUCCACUGGCAGCAGGGUCAGCAGGCCUGUGCCGACCACUGAGGGGCCCGGCCCAGCUGGAGAUGCUCUUGGUGGUCACAGGUGUGGGCGUGGUUUCCACCCGGAGGCUUGACCCAGCUGUGGACAAGGACAUCAGUGGGCAGAGAAGAAAAGCAGUCAGGAUGAGGGAUGCUGAAACUGGCAUUUGUGGGGGCUCUCUCCUCACCCAGCCCCCUCCUCUUCAGAAGGAUGCCGUUAAAGCCAAGGUUAAAGUUGGAGGAUACGGAAGACAGAUCUCAGUGGGGUUCUGCGUGGGUGUGGGAAAGAGAAAAGAUCAAAUUAGAAAAGGAUUAAAAUAUCAGUAC
This 367-nucleotide long non-coding RNA is filed under the name Fukomys damarensis (Damara mole-rat). RNAcentral's name for it is "lncRNA (ENSFDAG00000033393.1)". The record is from RNAcentral. Lineage: Eukaryota; Metazoa; Chordata; Mammalia; Rodentia; Bathyergidae.